UUGACCUCGGAUCAGGUAGGGAUACCCGCUGAACUUAAGCAUAUCAAUAAGCGGAGGAAAAGAAACCAACAGGGAUUGCCCCAGUAACGGCGAGUGAAGCGGCAAGAGCUCAAAUUUGAAAGCUGGCUCCUUCGGGGUCCGCAUUGUAAUUUGCAGAGGAUGCUUCGGGAGCGGUCCCCAUCUAAGUGCCCUGGAACGGGACGUCAUAGAGGGUGAGAAUCCCGUAUGGGAUGGGGUGUCCGCGCCCAUGUGAAGCUCCUUCGACGAGUCGAGUUGUUUGGGAAUGCAGCUCUAAAUGGGUGGUAAAUUUCAUCUAAAGCUAAAUAUUGGCCGGAGACCGAUAGCGCACAAGUAGAGUGAUCGAAAGAUGAAAAGCACUUUGAAAAGAGAGUUAAAAAGCACGUGAAAUUGUUGAAAGGGAAGCGCUUGCGACCAGACUCGCUCGUGGGGUUCAGCCGGCAUUCGUGCCGGUGUACUUCCCCGCGAGCGGGCCAGCGUCGGUUUGGGCGGUCAGUCAAAGGCCUCUGGAAGGUAACGCCCCCUCGGGGGCGUCUUAUAGCCAGGGGUGCAAUGUGGCCUGCCCGGACCGAGGAACGCGCUUCGGCUCGGACGCUGGCAUAAUGGUCGUAAGCGACC
This 636-nucleotide ribosomal RNA is filed under the name Penicillium olsonii. RNAcentral's name for it is "eukaryotic LSU rRNA". It matches the Rfam family "Eukaryotic large subunit ribosomal RNA", at positions 1 to 649 of the family's 3401-position model. The record is from RNAcentral. Lineage: Eukaryota; Fungi; Ascomycota; Eurotiomycetes; Eurotiales; Aspergillaceae.